GCUAUCCGCUGUUUCUCAGCCUCGUUUCUCGUGUUGCUUCUGAGUUUUUGUUGUGGGUUUAGAUAGAUCAGAUUAGAUGAUCUGUGGUCCGAAAUCUUUCUCGAUGACGAGAGUACACGCAGACGGGCGGUCUGAACUGAUGCCAUGUUGACAAGUCUGCAUCAUCCGUGCUUGCCCCUGUGGUUGGCAUCCGAGAGAAAACAUUAGGAUCCCGAUCUCUUAUUUUUCUUCUUCUGUUCAUGUUUGCGCUCAGCUCAUAGUCUCCCUCUUAGACGCGGUUCAGUUUUUUGCUAGACUCAGAUCUGAGGGGGCCAGAGCGGGCGCGCAUAGUGAGAUGGUUUACUUACCAACCCUCAGCAGCGUUUGCCAUUGCUCUGGAGUCAAAUAGCCUAACCGAGAUUUUUAGUUUUCGAAAUCUUUUUUAUUCUUUCGUGCUGGCAAGUGAUGAACAGAUAUCCUACACUCUCAAUGGAAAAAUUCCACGUGUGGACCAAUAAUCUCCGCUUAUUAUCUGAUGCCUUGCAUUAUCCUUCUCUGUUUCCUUGUAAAUUUAUCGGUACUAGCUUAGGGUGGCAAAUGAUGUGAAAUAUUGUAUGCUAAACGCUGAAUCUUUGAUAUGUUUACAAAAACUCCGCUUAUUAUCUGAUGCCACCCAUCUGUUUGAACCCGCGUUACAUAGCUCUUUAGUGAAUUUUGUUUUGAUUGAUGGCGGUGAUUUGAAUCUUACCCGCGCUUCUGAUUUACUCAUGAAGUACAAGGGAAACACAUGGUUGAAUUUCUUGAUAUGAGCCAUACAAAUAUAAAGUUAAUUUUUAGGUUUGUGCGUUUUGUUUGACCAUGGCUGUGAUGAUAAACACUUUCAGCAAACAUGCCAGUUCUGCUUCUGACAAUUCAUGACUGAAAACCUGUUAUACAAUAUCUGAGCCAUUACACUUCAAUUCUUUAUAUUUUCUCACAUCGUUGGUAACUGAAAAUUAAUGAUUGAUUACCGUAGUCUCUUCCUUGCAUCCUGAAUCAGGAUAAGUCAUGAUUUGUUGUGAAACACUAUUUGAAUUGCUGAUGAUGCUACAAACAUUUGGACGUGCAGAUGGCUCCAGGAUCCUGUUUAGAGGAUGAACCUACCUGGAGGCGCCUUACCCACAUGACAUUCAUGGGCAAUUCUGAGGUUCUUCUGAUCAGAUGAAACUUUUGUUUCUGUUUUAGAUUUGAUUUCUGCUACUAUUGAAAUGAUAAAACAAGUCGAGUUUAACUAUUCUCUCACAAGUACCUCUGAUUUGUGGAAGAGGUUGAAAAACUUGCAGAUCGUGUGUUGUCAUCAGCUUUGUCUCUUGCUCCUAUGAGAUGGGAGUUAAAUAACGGCACAAGAUUCACUCGAUUCAUUUCCUCUUUGAAUGAUCUGUGCACAGAACCCGCUGCAAGAUAUUGAAGAAACAGACUCUGUGGUGAUUGUCAGUUCGGCAGCUCUUACAUACACUUUCUUGGUAUUAUGAUUUUGACAACUGUGAUGAGCCAAUUUUACAGUUACAGACCUGUAAUGACUCUUGUGGAAAUGAUCACAUGGUCAAAGAACAUCUAAGGGACUGAGUUGUCUUUGUAUUUUGCAUCUUUGCUGGCAGUAGAUGAAAAAAAUACAGAUUAGAUAUUGCUGUGUUUUUUAUCUGCUUUUCUUGACAGUACUUGCCUGUAAACUAAUCUUUAUGGUUCUUGGGCAAUGAGAAGAUGGUAAGCAGAAAGCAGAUAUUCCUCUCGCUAUCCAGCGCAGAAUUUCUUGUUAUGUGAUUGGACGUUGAGGAACUAAAUUGCAUUCUCUUUUGAUGAAUUUGAUGAGCAGAUAUAAAUUAGAAUUGACAAAAAUACAUGUGUUUUGACUACUGAAUUGUCAUUCUGGAGGCACCAUACCAAGAGAAUGGGUUGUGUUGUUUCAGUAGGAAGGUACAGAGGAAAUAUGUGGUGAUAAUGGAGUGUGGUGUGAUCCUUAUAUCAACAAUUUUUUUUGCUGGACUCAGGCCUUAUGCUUAUGUAGCGAGUGUGUAUAGUGAGAUGAUUUACCUACCAAACCCUUUGCACUGUUUGGAAUUGCUCUAGAGUCAAAUUGUCUAACCAAAACUCUGCUUUAUUAUCUGGUGCGACCUAUCGGUUCCAACUUUCAAUACAGUUUUUGAAGAGCUUAGCUGCAUUAUUUUUCUACAAUGCCAUCUUACCUGUUUUUCAAAUUAAUUCAUGAAUACAAGGGAAAACAUGUGCCAUAAGAAUGUUAGUUUUUAUUUGUGCACUCUUUACUUUAGAUAUGGGUUUUCUGGUUUGAUAUGGCAGUGAUGAUAACACACUUACAGCAAACAUGCCAGUUCUGCUUCUGAGAAUUCAUGACUGAAACCUGUUAUAUUGAUCUGAGCCAUUCCAGUUGUAUUGGGUGUAUAUUUGAACCUAAUCAGAGAGAUGGAUGACAAACAAUAUGUGGACUAUACCCAACUUUUGGAGUUUCAGAUGGCUCCAUGAUCCUGUUUACUGGAUGAACCUACGGGGCUCUGUAUCCACAUGACAUCGAUGGACAAAUCUGAGGUGUAAUUCUCCAAAGAGGCUAAUGUUUAGAAGUGCAGAUGGCUCCAGGAUGCUGUUUAAGGAAUGAACUUGUCUGGAGGCACUGUACCCACAUGACAACCAUGAGCAAAUGUGGAUCAGUUUGCUUGUUGUUUCAAGUUGAUUUCUGUUUUUCUAACUGAUACAACAAAAUGUUUGUUUAACAUCUUUGAUAAUCAGUUUCUCUUAUUUACCUAGGUUUGUGUUAUUACUGUUAUUUGAAGAGUUUAACAAUAUUUAAUUUUUGGUUUAAUUGGUCUGAUAUGCUGGCCUCAAAUACUGAACCGAAUCUAACCUUUCGUCAUACAGUUAUUUCAUUUAUUGAAUAGAUAUCAAUUCUUUCUGAAACCUUGAGCCUUGCUGCAAAAGCUUUCAUUCAUUUCUUCUGGUUGUAGUAUCUCUUGCAGUUAGUUUUUUGUCUUGUUCUUGCUGCUGUUUCUUUGAUGGCCAUUGUUGAUGCAAAUAAGGAGUCACAAUUUUUGUGGGUAAUUUGCGUCUGAGGCAUCUCAAUGAUGUUACCAUCUUUUCACCUUGGAGAUCUGAUGCAUCCAGGAUUAUAUUCUCACUAUUUGGUUGUGCUGUUUUGAUUAUUUUGGGUGAAAUGAGGAUUAAAUAAUUAUUGAAGGACGGUAUGAUGUCCGUUGAAUCAUGUAUUAGCUCUAUCUGAUCAUUCUCUACUGAAUUUUGCCUUUCCAUUUUUAAGAAUUUCUUUUUUGUUGUUUGAAUGGCUGUUGAUGCAAAUGAGGAAACCUGAGUUUAUGGGUAAUUUGCAUAUGAGGCAUUUCUUUGAUGCAUCCUGCCUCACUGAGUAAUUUUCUUUCAGUUUAUUUUUUGUAUUGAAUGAGAUGAGAUGAUGAAUGAGAUUUAUUUCCCUAUUGGUUUGAUUGGCUGAUAUGAUGGCCUAAAAUACUGAACUGUAUCUGAUCAUCUUCUUGUUUCUAAGUGAGUCAAUUGAAUUUUGCUUGCUUUGCCUUGUCAUAGUUUCCCUUGUUUUAUUCUAUGUAGAGUAAUUUCAUGCAAUAGUUUUCUUAUUUAAUCGGUGGAAGUGUGAUGAUGAAUGAUUAAUUUCCCUAUUGGUUUGACUGGCCAACAUGAUGGCCCAAAUGCAGAACAAAGUCUGAUCAUCAUCCCUGGUUAGAUUCCAGAAAUUAAUGGAUUUUUUUAGCUUUCUCCUGCUGAAGCUGUGGACCUUAUUUUGUUUGUUUGGGCCUAGGAUUAAAUUAAACUAUAGACAAGCAUAUGUCUGAAUUCUCUUCAUGUGGAACGAUCUAAUCUUCUCUAUGAGGCCUAUCUUUUACAUUUCUUUGUCUGCAGUUUUAUUUGAUGUGUUUUUCUGUUUUUUUGUUGUGUGAUGCCGAUGAUGAUUAGUGUGAACCUUUCUCAAUGAAAUCAGUAAUGAUUACAUUAACCUACUGCCUUCCUUCUGAGGCAUCAUUAUUCCUGUAUCUCAUUUUCUUUUCUGUUAAUUUGUUUUGGUUUGCCUGUUGAUUUAGUGUGGUUUUCCCAGGUUAUACUUGAAAAAUAAAUAGUCUUUUGCUCCUAUCUGAUGACCUUUCAUCCUCACCCUUUUCAGGUGAAUCAAAACUAUAGUUUUUUGUUGUCUUUUUUGCAUUUACUUGUAGAACCCUACGUGUUAAUUUGGUUUAUAUGUAUGGAUUCCUUUGAGGACGGUGAAGAUUGAUAUUUGGUCUCAACUGGCAUUUAUUUGCCUUGCCGACCAUCCUGCUAUAUCACCACCCAUAUUCUGUGUCCUCUUUAUUAUAGUAUCUUGGUUUUUCAUGUUAAUAUCAUAAUAUGUUUUAAGUUUUUGUAUAAUAAUACGUUCUUCCUAUGUCCCUGUUUGUUAGCUUUUUGCUUUUGAGAUUUCUUCUAUGGUUGUUUUGAUCUGUUCACCAAUUUGGUAAAGUCAGCUGGUUUGCAGAUCCUGGUUCUUCAGAUCAUUUUGAAGUUCGGGAUUUGUUUGGUUGCAGGGAAAUCCUCCCCGGGACAGGGAUAGAGGCAGUCAGAUGCUGGGAAUAUUGGCCAAACAAAGGAUAUGGUCAGUCGCAAAAAAGUGGCCGGCGGCUGAUUGUGGUGGCUUAAUUUUGCUGGUCGGCAUGGCGAUGUGCAUCAGUGUUAGAGCUGGAUCUCAGGGACGUGGCGACGCGGUUUUUGAGGCGUGCUUGAUGUGGUGUGCUUGCGUGCAUGAUGUGUAGGUGUCCUUUUUUCGUUUUGGGGAUGUAGUUGUCCUCUUAUUAUGUUAACCCAUGAGAGUUAUGGAUGGAUAAGUUUUGUCUGCAAUGAAUUUCUUCAAUAUA
This is a long non-coding RNA of Hordeum vulgare subsp. vulgare (domesticated barley), 4874 nucleotides long. RefSeq lists it as uncharacterized. The record is from RefSeq and is a predicted model, not a curated record. NCBI's taxonomy places the organism in Eukaryota, Viridiplantae, Streptophyta, Magnoliopsida, Poales, Poaceae. The transcript is spliced from 2 exons.